RNAcentral lists this ribosomal RNA (801 nucleotides) under Streptomyces sp. Its description in RNAcentral is "bacterial SSU rRNA". It matches the Rfam family "Bacterial small subunit ribosomal RNA", at positions 67 to 882 of the family's 1533-position model. Lineage: Bacteria; Bacillati; Actinomycetota; Actinomycetes; Kitasatosporales; Streptomycetaceae. The record is from RNAcentral.
CGAUGAACCACUUCGGUGGGGAUUAGUGGCGAACGGGUGAGUAACACGUGGGCAAUCUGCCCUGCACUCUGGGACAAGCCCUGGAAACGGGGUCUAAUACCGGAUACUGAUCCUCGCAGGCAUCUGCGAGGUUCGAAAGCUCCGGCGGUGCAGGAUGAGCCCGCGGCCUAUCAGCUAGUUGGUGAGGUAACGGCUCACCAAGGCGACGACGGGUAGCCGGCCUGAGAGGGCGACCGGCCACACUGGGACUGAGACACGGCCCAGACUCCUACGGGAGGCAGCAGUGGGGAAUAUUGCACAAUGGGCGAAAGCCUGAUGCAGCGACGCCGCGUGAGGGAUGACGGCCUUCGGGUUGUAAACCUCUUUCAGCAGGGAAGAAGCGAAAGUGACGGUACCUGCAGAAGAAGCGCCGGCUAACUACGUGCCAGCAGCCGCGGUAAUACGUAGGGCGCAAGCGUUGUCCGGAAUUAUUGGGCGUAAAGAGCUCGUAGGCGGCUUGUCACGUCGGUUGUGAAAGCCCGGGGCUUAACCCCGGGUCUGCAGUCGAUACGGGCAGGCUAGAGUUCGGUAGGGGAGAUCGGAAUUCCUGGUGUAGCGGUGAAAUGCGCAGAUAUCAGGAGGAACACCGGUGGCGAAGGCGGAUCUCUGGGCCGAUACUGACGCUGAGGAGCGAAAGCGUGGGGAGCGAACAGGAUUAGAUACCCUGGUAGUCCACGCCGUAAACGGUGGGCACUAGGUGUGGGCAACAUUCCACGUUGUCCGUGCCGCAGCUAACGCAUUAAGUGCCCCGCCUGGGGAGUA